Molecule: ribosomal RNA, 468 nt
Filed under: uncultured bacterium
Lineage: Bacteria
Description: partial 16S ribosomal RNA
Rfam family: Bacterial small subunit ribosomal RNA
Source: RNAcentral
GACGAACGCUGGCGGCGUGCUUAACACAUGCAAGUCGAACGGAAAGGCCCUGCAUUUGUGGGGUGCACGAGUAACGAAGGGGUGAGUAACACGUACGUACCCUGCCGUUGACUGUGGGAUAACGUCAGGAAACUGGGGCUAAUACAGGCUAGGAGCUCCUGAUCCAUGGUGGGGGAUGGAAAGUUUCGUCGUGUGGGGGUGGUAUCGCUGCUUAAGAGCCUGUGGGUGAGGUAGCGGCUUACCAAGGCUUUGACGGGUAGCCGGCCUGGGAGAGUGACCGGCCACAUUGGGCCUGCGGUAGGGCCCAGAGUGCUACGUGGGGCAGCGGUGGGGAAUAUUGCACAAUGGGCCGGAGCCUGGUGCAGCGACGUCGCGUGCGGGAUCUCGGUCUUCGGGUAGUAAACCGCUUUCGCCUGUGACGAAGCGUGAGUGACGGUAAUGUAUAAAGAAGCACCGGCUAACUACGUG